GACGAACGCUGGCGGCGUGCUUAACACAUGCAAGUCGAACGGAAAGGCCCUGCUUUUGUGGGGUGCUCGAGUGGCGAACGGGUGAGUAACACGUGAGUAACCUGCCCUUGACUUUGGGAUAACUUCAGGAAACUGGGGCUAAUACCGGAUAGGAGCUCCUGCUGCAUGGUGGGGGUUGGAAAGUUUCGGCGGUUGGGGAUGGACUCGCGGCUUAUCAGCUUGUUGGUGGGGUAGUGGCUUACCAAGGCUUUGACGGGUAGCCGGCCUGAGAGGGUGACCGGCCACGUUGGGACUGAGAUACGGCCCAGACUCCUACGGGAGGCAGCAGUGGGGAAUAUUGCACAAUGGGCGGAAGCCUGAUGCAGCAACGCCGCGUGCGGGAUGACGGCCUUCGGGUUGUAAACCGCUUUCGCCUGUGACGAAGCGUGAGUGACGGUAAUGGGUAAAGAAGCACCGGCUAACUACGUGCCAGCAGCCGCGGUGAUACGUAGGGUGCGAGCGUUGUCCGGAUUUAUUGGGCGUAAAGGGCUCGUAGGUGGUUGAUCGCGUCGGAAGUGUAAUCUUGGGGCUUAACCCUGAGCGUGCUUUCGAUACGGGUUGACUUGAGGAAGGUAGGGGAGAAUGGAAUUCCUGGUGGAGCGGUGGAAUGCGCAGAUAUCAGGUGGAACACCAGUGGCGAAGGCGGUUCUCUGGGCCUUUCCUGACGCUGAGGAGCGAAAGCGUGGGGAGCGAACAGGCUUAGAUACCCUGGUAGUCCACGCUGUAAACGGUGGGUACUAGGUGUGGGGUCCAUUCCACGGGUUCCGUGCCGUAGCUAACGCUUUAAGUACCCCGCCUGGGGAGUACGGCCGCAAGGCUAAAACUCAAAGGAAUUGACGGGGCCCCGCACAAGCGGCGGAGCAUGCGGAUUAAUUCGAUGCAACGCGUAGAACCUUACCUGGGUUUGACAUGGAUCGGGAGUGCUCAGAGAUGGGUGUGCCUCUUUUGGGGUCGGUUCACAGGUGGUGCAUGCCUGUCGUCAGCUCGUGUCGUGAGAUGUUGGGUUAAGUCCCGCAACGAGCGCAACCCUUGUUCACUGUUGCCAGCACGUUAUGGUGGGGACUCAGUGGAGACCGCCGGGGUCAACUCGGAGGAAGGUGGGGAUGACGUCAAGUCAUCAUGCCCCUUAUGUCCAGGGCUUCACGCAUGCUACAAUGGCUGGUACAGAGAGUGGCGAGCCUGUGAGGGUGAGCGAAUCUCGGAAAGCCGGUCUCAGUUCGGAUUGGGGUCUGCAACUCGACCCCAUGAAGUCGGAGUCGCUAGUAAUCGAAGAUCAGCAACGCUGCGGUGAAUACGUUCCCGGG
Molecule: ribosomal RNA, 1343 nt
Filed under: uncultured bacterium
Lineage: Bacteria
Description: 16S ribosomal RNA
Rfam family: Bacterial small subunit ribosomal RNA
Source: RNAcentral